RNAcentral lists this ribosomal RNA (253 nucleotides) under uncultured bacterium. RNAcentral describes it as "partial 16S ribosomal RNA". It matches the Rfam family "Bacterial small subunit ribosomal RNA", at positions 524 to 776 of the family's 1533-position model. The record is from RNAcentral.
UACGGAGGAGGCAAGCGUUAUCCGGAAUUAUUGGGCGUAAAGCGUCCGCAGGUGGCUAUUCAAGUCUGCGGUCAAAGACUGGGGCUUAACCCUGGAAAGGCCGUGGAAACUGAAGAGCUAGAGUGCAGUAGGGGUAGAGGGAAUUCCCGGUGUAGCGGUGAAAUGCGUAGAGCUCGGGAAGAACAUCGGUGGCGAAAGCGCUCUACUGGACCUUAUCUGACAUUGAGGGACGAAAGCUAGGGGAGCGAAUGGG